GAUGAACGCUGGCGGCGUGCCUAAUACAUGCAAGUCGAGCGAACAGACGAGGAGCUUGCUCCUCUGACGUUAGCGGCGGACGGGUGAGUAACACGUGGAUAACCUACCUAUAAGACUGGGAUAACUUCGGGAAACCGGAGCUAAUACCGGAUAACAUGUUGAACCGCAUGGUUCAACAGUGAAAGACGGUCUUGCUGUCACUUAUAGAUGGAUCCGCGCCGCAUUAGCUAGUUGGUAAGGUAACGGCUUACCAAGGCAACGAUGCGUAGCCGACCUGAGAGGGGGGUCGGCCAAACUGGAACUGAGACACGGUCCCGACUCCUACGGGAGGGAGCAGUAGGGAAUCUUCCGCCAUGGGGGGAAGCCUGACGGAGCAAAGCCGCGUGAGGGAAGAAGGUCUUUGGAUCGUAAAACCCUUUUAAUAGGGAAGAAAAAAUUUUUAAGUAACUAUGCACGUCUUGACGGUACCUAAUCAGAAAGCCACGGCUAACUACGUG
RNAcentral lists this ribosomal RNA (497 nucleotides) under uncultured bacterium. RNAcentral describes it as "partial 16S ribosomal RNA". It matches the Rfam family "Bacterial small subunit ribosomal RNA", at positions 28 to 507 of the family's 1533-position model. The record is from RNAcentral.